Molecule: ribosomal RNA, 465 nt
Filed under: Vreelandella stevensii
Lineage: Bacteria; Pseudomonadati; Pseudomonadota; Gammaproteobacteria; Oceanospirillales; Halomonadaceae
Description: partial 16S ribosomal RNA
Rfam family: Bacterial small subunit ribosomal RNA
Source: RNAcentral
CCUACGGGUGGCAGCAGUGGGGAAUAUUGGACAAUGGGGGCAACCCUGAUCCAGCCAUGCCGCGUGUGUGAAGAAGGCCCUCGGGUUGUAAAGCACUUUCAGUGAGGAAGAACGCCUGGUGGUUAAUACCCAUCAGGAAAGACAUCACUCACAGAAGAAGCACCGGCUAACUCCGUGCCAGCAGCCGCGGUAAUACGGAGGGUGCGAGCGUUAAUCGGAAUUACUGGGCGUAAAGCGCACGUAGGUGGCUUGAUAAGCCGGUUGUGAAAGCCCCGGGCUCAACCUGGGAACGGCAUCCGGAACUGUCAAGCUAGAGUGCAGGAGAGGAAGGUAGAAUUCCCGGUGUAGCGGUGAAAUGCGUAGAGAUCGGGAGGAAUACCAGUGGCGAAGGCGGCCUUCUGGACUGACACUGACACUGAGGUGCGAAAGCGUGGGUAGCAAACAGGAUUAGAUACCCUAGUAGUC